AGAGUUUGAUCCUGGCUCAGGACGAACGCUGGCGGCGUGCUUAACACAUGCAAGUCGAACGGAAAGGCCCUGCUUGCAGGGUACUCGAGUGGCGAACGGGUGAGUAACACGUGGGUGAUCUGCCCUGCACUUCGGGAUAAGCCUGGGAAACUGGGUCUAAUACCGGAUAGGAGCCAUUUUUAGUGUGAUGGUUGGAAAGUUUUUUCGGUGUAGGAUGAGCUCGCGGCCUAUCAGCUUGUUGGUGGGGUAAUGGCCUACCAAGGCGGCGACGGGUAGCCGGCCUGAGAGGGUGGACGGCCACAUUGGGACUGAGAUACGGCCCAGACUCCUACGGGAGGCAGCAGUGGGGAAUAUUGCACAAUGGGCGCAAGCCUGAUGCAGCGACGCCGCGUGGGGGAUGACGGCCUUCGGGUUGUAAACUCCUCUCGCUAGGGACGAAGCUUUUUGUGACGGUACCUAGAUAAGAAGCACCGGCUAACUACGUGCCAGCAGCCGCGGUAAUACGUAGGGUGCGAGCGUUGUCCGGAAUUACUGGGCGUAAAGGGCUCGUAGGUGGUUUGUCGCGUCGUCUGUGAAAUUCCGGGGCUUAACUCCGGGCGUGCAGGCGAUACGGGCAUAACUUGAGUACUGUAGGGGUAACUGGAAUUCCUGGUGUAGCGGUGAAAUGCGCGAUAUCAGGAGGAACACCGAUGGCGAAGGCAGGUUACUGGGCAGUUACUGACGCUGAGGAGCGAAAGCAUGGGUAGCGAACAGGAUUAGAUACCCUAGUAGUCC
Molecule: ribosomal RNA, 774 nt
Filed under: uncultured bacterium
Lineage: Bacteria
Description: bacterial SSU rRNA
Rfam family: Bacterial small subunit ribosomal RNA
Source: RNAcentral